AUCUACACUUGAAUUAUGAUUCUUAGUGCUCACUACCAAUGGACCAAUAAUGGUGUAGUUAGGGUUUAAAAAGCAGAGAUGCGACAUCUGUAAGAUGGUGAGCAAAAGAAAAUGAAUCCGAGCAUAACUUCUGGUAGGAUUAUCUUAAAGCAGCUGAUGUCAAAUUAAGAGGAGAAUCAUGGCGGGGUAUCGAGAUGUUCACAGCUGCAGUCAAUCUGAGAGGUGAAUGUUUCAGUUGCGGGUUUGUUGGUAACGGAGAUCGGCACAGCUACAUGAAGAGCUGGAGACACAUAUAACCAAUGGAAACGGAAAUCUAUGGCGUUAAUGCAUUUCCUUGGUGAUUUUACAAUAACAACAACAUCAACAGAUAGGUACCUCUGGAGACGGAAAAUAUGGUACGCCUAAUGUUUGAUCGAUUGGCUGAGAGAAGAAGUUGAGAUGCAGAUGAUGAGAAGAGACCAGGGAAGAAUUGGCAGUGACGGGUUCUAGUUGAAAUGAUUUUUUAUCAAAUGUAUACAGACAUUAGAGUUCGUCCACGACAAUGGUGCAGUCUGCGAAAACAAGAACUGAAUUGGAGAGUGUAAAUGUAUGUAUGACGAAUUUGUUAGCUUGGGUUGUGGUGAAUUUGUGUUGGGAGUUGACAGCAGCAAGGUUCUCAUCUAAAGCUAAAUUAGUGUUGCUCCAUGUAUUUGAGAUGAAGAUGGACGCAAGCUAUGGGAGUCACUGCAGUUAGUAGAUGGUGGAUAUGGAAUAGAACCGGUGGAGUUGAAGACAUGAUCUGCGGCUGGAUUAAACUGGAAAUUCUCGUUGAAGAAGAGCCAGGGACGGAGCUAAGUGCUUCCCUGGGGUGGCCUCCGCCUCCCCUAAAAAAUUCUAAAUCACUUGAACAUCCUUUAAGUUUAGCACUAUUUACAGAAAAAGAUUAUUAUCCCCCCCUGAUUAUUUUGUUUUCUUAGUUAGCCCACUUGUUUAGUAUUUCUAGCUCCGUCCCUGAAGAGCACUCAGCAGCAAAAAAGAAAUGAAGUUGUAGGUUGGCAGAAUCGUUGGAGCAGCUGCUCGUAACUGAAAUGGUGUGGGGUUUGGUCGAUGAUGGUUGUAUGGAGGUGACAGAAGAGAUGGUUUAGCUGUUGCCGGCGAAGAAGUAUAGAUGACCAUGACUUAAAAGUGCUGCCUUGAUCAUGGAUUUAAACUGAAGCACAAGGAGUUAUUGGCUUGAGUUGUUAAGAUUUUAUCACAACAGCAACAGCAGAUUUGGAUGAUUAAAAAGGUUUUGGAUUUCAGAGAAACAAGGACGGAAAAUGGGGUUGUUUUGCUAGUGAUGAUUAACUGGCAGAAAAGAUGGAUUAUGUAUUGGUUUUGUGUCAUCGUGUUGUGUACGAGAAGAUUAGGGAACUAGCUCGAUGCUGUUGUAGUUGGAAGUGAAUGAAAUGUAGAUGGCUAAAUGCAAAGAAUGGAAAUUGGUGCUGGUUUGGUUUGGUUAAGGUUCCACUGAUGACCAACGGUAACUGAACUUGACAUAAUUGGAAUUACUGUCACGUUGAAUCUAUCUUGGUGGUUUCUGGCGCUUGGGUUGUUUGUCUAUGUAAUUUUCGGUGGAUUCUGAAGCUGUGAUGUGACCAGAAUUUAUGCAGUCAGUGGUGGUGACGUUGUUAUGACUGCAUAACCUGUCAUGCAGUUGAGAAAAUGUCUGCAUAACAUCUUAUGCAGUCGUGAAAAUGGAUGCAUAACCUGUUAUGCGUC
Papaver somniferum (opium poppy) is the source of this 1740-nucleotide long non-coding RNA. RefSeq lists it as uncharacterized. The transcript has 2 exons. NCBI's taxonomy places the organism in Eukaryota, Viridiplantae, Streptophyta, Magnoliopsida, Ranunculales, Papaveraceae. The record is from RefSeq and is a predicted model, not a curated record.